This 753-nucleotide ribosomal RNA is filed under the name Acinetobacter lwoffii. Its description in RNAcentral is "bacterial SSU rRNA". It matches the Rfam family "Bacterial small subunit ribosomal RNA", at positions 647 to 1397 of the family's 1533-position model. Lineage: Bacteria; Pseudomonadati; Pseudomonadota; Gammaproteobacteria; Moraxellales; Moraxellaceae. The record is from RNAcentral.
UAACAAGGUAACCAUGGUAGAAUUCCAGGUGUAGCGGUGAAAUGCGUAGAGAUCUGGAGGAAUACCGAUGGCGAAGGCAGCCAUCUGGCCUAAUACUGACACUGAGGUGCGAAAGCAUGGGGAGCAAACAGGAUUAGAUACCCUGGUAGUCCAUGCCGUAAACGAUGUCUACUAGCCGUUGGGGCCUUUGAGGCUUUAGUGGCGCAGCUAACGCGAUAAGUAGACCGCCUGGGGAGUACGGUCGCAAGACUAAAACUCAAAUGAAUUGACGGGGGCCCGCACAAGCGGUGGAGCAUGUGGUUUAAUUCGAUGCAACGCGAAGAACCUUACCUGGUCUUGACAUAUUAAGAACUUUCCAGAGAUGGAUUGGUGCCUUCGGGAACUUACAUACAGGUGCUGCAUGGCUGUCGUCAGCUCGUGUCGUGAGAUGUUGGGUUAAGUCCCGCAACGAGCGCAACCCUUUUCUUUAUUUGCCACCGGGUUAAGCCGGGAACUUUAAGGAUACUGCCAUUGACAAACUGGAGGAAGGCGGGGACGACGUCAAGUCAUCAUGGCCCUUACGACCAGGGCUACACACGUGCUACAAUGGUCGGUACAAAGGGUUGCUACCUCGCGAGAGGAUGCUAAUCUCAAAAAGCCGAUCGUAUUCCGGAUUGGAUUCUGCAACUCGACUCCAUGAAUUCGGAAUCGCUAGUAAUCGCGAAUCAGAAUGCCGCGGUGAAUACGUUCCCGGGCCUUGUACACACCGCCCGU